AUGCCUUCUCUGUGCCCAGGCCUCACCUCGGGGCUGCAGGAAGCAGGAUGUUGGCCCUGAGUUAGGAGCCCCAGGCUCCCUUAGGUAGACCCAGCCAGGCAUGAAUUGAGUGGAAGGGCUCCCUUGUGUGGGCUUGGAUCUGACCACAGGAGUGCCCUCUUCAAAGUCAAUGGGAAGGAGGCAGCACUGGUGAUGGGAUCCCCUUGUUGCAGGUAACCAAGGCCAGAAAAAAGACCUAAUUAAGACAUUUUUUCCAUUCUUUGAUGCUUCGGGGACAAAUUGGUGUAUCAAAGUUGGCAUAAGCUGCAUGAAUUCCCUCCAUUAAGGAUCUGGCUGGGCAUGAAGGCCCAGUCCAUAUAACUCAAACUAUACAUGGCACAGAUGACCAGGCCUCAAAGAAUGUCACCUUAGAAGAAG
Molecule: long non-coding RNA, 417 nt
Organism: Cervus elaphus (red deer)
Lineage: Eukaryota; Metazoa; Chordata; Mammalia; Artiodactyla; Cervidae
Exons: 3
Source: RefSeq, a predicted model, not a curated record